GGCUCAGGAUGAACGCUAGCUACAGGCUUAACACAUGCAAGUCGAGGGGCAGCAUGGUCUUAGCUUGCUAAGGCCGAUGGCGACCGGCGCACGGGUGAGUAACGCGUAUCCAACCUGCCUUACACUCUUGGACAGCCUUCUGAAAGGGAGAUUAAUACAAGAUGUUAUCAUGAGUAAGCAUUUUCGCAUGAUUAAAGGUUUACCGGUGUAAGAUGGGGAUGCGUUCCAUUAGAUAGUAGGCGGGGUAACGGCCCACCUAGUCUUCGAUGGAUAGGGGUUCUGAGAGGAAGGUCCCCCACAUUGGAACUGAGACACGGUCCAAACUCCUACGGGAGGCAGCAGUGAGGAAUAUUGGUCAAUGGACGAGAGUCUGAACCAGCCAAGUAGCGUGAAGGAUGAAGGUUCUAUGGAUUGUAAACUUCUUUUAUACGGGAAUAAACGAAUCCACGCGUGGAUUUUUGCAUGUACCGUAUGAAUAAGGAUCGGCUAACUCCGUGCCAGCAGCCGCGGUAAUACGGAGGAUCCGAGCGUUAUCCGGAUUUAUUGGGUUUAAAGGGAGCGUAGAUGGGUUGUUAAGUCAGUUGUGAAAGUUUGCGGCUCAACCGUAAAAUUGCAAUUGAUACUGGCAGUCUUGAGUACAGUUGAGGUAGGCGGAAUUCGUGGUGUAGCGGUGAAAUGCUUAGAUAUCACGAAGAACUCCGAUUGCGAAGGCAGCUCACUAACCUGUAACUGACAUUGAUGCUCGAAAGUGUGGGUAUCAAACAGGAUUAGAUACCCUGGUAGUCCACACAGUAAACGAUGAAUACUCGCUGUUUGCGAUAUACAGUAAGCGGCCAAGCGAAAGCAUUAAGUAUUCCACCUGGGGAGUACGCCGGCAACGGUGAAACUCAAAGGAAUUGACGGGGGCCCGCACAAGCGGAGGAACAUGUGGUUUAAUUCGAUGAUACGCGAGGAACCUUACCCGGGCCUAAAUUGCAACAGAAUAUAUUGGAAACAGUAUAGCCGUAAGGCUGUUGUGAAGGUGCUGCAUGGUUGUCGUCAGCUCGUGCCGUGAGGUGUCGGCUUAAGUGCCAUAACGAGCGCAACCCUUAUCUCUAGUUACUAACAGGUUAUGCUGAGGACUCUAGAGAGACUGCCGUCGUAAGAUGUGAGGAAGGUGGGGAUGACGUCAAAUCAGCACGGCCCUUACGUCCGGGGCUACACACGUGUUACAAUGGGGGGUACAGAAGGCCGCUACCUGGUGACAGGAUGCUAAUCCCAAAAACCUCUCUCAGUUCGGAUCGAAGUCUGCAACCCGACUUCGUGAAGCUGGAUUCGCUAGUAAUCGCGCAUCAGCCAUGGCGCGGUGAAUACGUUCCCGGGCCUUGUACACACCGCCCGUCAAGCCAUGAAAGCCGGGGGUACCUGAAGUACGUAACCGCAAGGAGCGUCCUAGGGUAAAACUGGUAAU
Molecule: ribosomal RNA, 1450 nt
Filed under: uncultured organism
Description: SSU rRNA
Rfam family: Bacterial small subunit ribosomal RNA
Source: RNAcentral